AUGGGAACGCGAAGAACCUUACCUACUCUUGACAUCCAGAGAACUUUCCAGAGAUGGGUUGGUGCCUUCGGGAACUCUGAGACAGGUGCUGCAUGGCUGUCGUCAGCUCGUGUUGUGAAAUGUUGGGUUAAGUCCCGCAACGAGCGCAACCCUUAUCCUUUGUUGCCAGCGGUUAGGCCGGGAACUCAAAGGAGACUGCCAGUGAUAAACUGGAGGAAGGUGGGGAUGACGUCAAGUCAUCAUGGCCCUUACGAGUAGGGCUACACACGUGCUACAAUGGCGCAUACAAAGAGAAGCGACCUCGCGAGAGCAAGCGGACCUCAUAAAGUGCGUCGUAGUCCGGAUUGGAGUCUGCAACUCGACUCCAUGAAGUCGGAAUCGCUAGUAAUCGUAGAUCAGAAUGCUACGGUGAAUACGUUCCCGGGUCUUGUACACA
RNAcentral lists this ribosomal RNA (436 nucleotides) under uncultured bacterium. RNAcentral describes it as "bacterial SSU rRNA". It matches the Rfam family "Bacterial small subunit ribosomal RNA", at positions 954 to 1389 of the family's 1533-position model. The record is from RNAcentral.